Molecule: transfer RNA, 87 nt
Rfam family: tRNA
About the family: Transfer RNA (tRNA) molecules are approximately 80 nucleotides in length.
Source: Rfam
GGGCCCGUAGCUCAGGUGGAUAGAGCGACGGCCUUCUAUCCCACGGGAGAAAGCCGUAGGUCGCGGGUUCGAAUCCCGUCGGGCCCG